AUGGUGAUGGUCUAUUCGGUGGAAUAAAGAGAAAAUCGAAAUUCUCUUUUGGAGAGAUGGCUGAGUGGUUGAUAGCUCCGGUCUUGAAAACCG
RNAcentral lists this transfer RNA (93 nucleotides) under Julbernardia paniculata. Its description in RNAcentral is "tRNA-Ser". The stretch from base 51 to 93 matches the Rfam family "tRNA", at positions 1 to 41 of the family's 71-position model. The record is from RNAcentral. Lineage: Eukaryota; Viridiplantae; Streptophyta; Magnoliopsida; Fabales; Fabaceae.